This is a long non-coding RNA of Mytilus trossulus (common blue mussel), 596 nucleotides long. RefSeq lists it as uncharacterized. NCBI's taxonomy places the organism in Eukaryota, Metazoa, Mollusca, Bivalvia, Mytilida, Mytilidae. The transcript has 4 exons. The record is from RefSeq and is a predicted model, not a curated record.
CAUUGUGUGCAUUGUGUUUUGUUUUCUUUUAUUGAAAUACAGUAAAUAGCUCUGGGACACCAAUAACAGCAGAUGCAGUAUGUUUACCGUGCACAAAGACACAGGCAGAGUGUGAUCACACAGAGACCAGUAUGGGAACAUCUUCAAAUUUACCAAUGGAUUGGUGGGAAAUUUUAUUGAUAGUUGUAGCGGUCGUAGUAUUAUCAAUAAUAGUGGCCAUCAUAAUUCGACAUGUAUAUACACACCACAAAGUUUCAAAAAUAGGGGUACAGACAUAAGAUAAGAUUCUGUAAUCACGACAUCACCACGAAAAACACCAGUAACAGCAGGACGGUUAAGUUUCAUUGACGAGUGAAUAUGAAACUGUAUAAUACACCAUCCUUCAUUACACUUAAUAUCUAUUGAUAUGCAUAUUUAUUUUAUUCUAUGCUGUUAUAUGUUUUCUAUUCAUGCCAAAUAUUUUGCUAUCUUGCCGUCUUUUAUUAAUUGAAUGUUAUUCUACUAAAUAAAAAACAAAAACAAAAAGCCUACAAAAGAAACACAUUUCUGUUCUCUACUUUUGGGACAGCUGCAUUAUUUGACAAUUUUAGGCGAAA